This 363-nucleotide transfer RNA is filed under the name uncultured Microcystis sp. Its description in RNAcentral is "partial miscellaneous RNA". The stretch from base 135 to 208 matches the Rfam family "tRNA". Lineage: Bacteria; Bacillati; Cyanobacteriota; Cyanophyceae; Chroococcales; Microcystaceae. The record is from RNAcentral.
AAGGGAGACCUAAUUCAGGUAGGAGACGAAAAAAAAGUAGUCCCUACCAAGAAUCAAUCCCAAAAGGUCGGAGCGAGGCAAAAUUGGCUUUCAAACUAGGUUCUGGGUUCACACAAGACCUGAAUCAGGAACAAGGGCUAUUAGCUCAGGUGGUUAGAGCGCACCCCUGAUAAGGGUGAGGUCCCUGGUUCGAGUCCAGGAUGGCCCACCUGUACAGGUGGCAAAAACAAAGAAAAGAAGCGAGGAAUCGGCACCUUAUCUUACUUAUAUAGUAAGAGAGAAUGCUGGCUCUGAGUAAAGAGUCCAGAGGAACCUUGAAAACUGCAUAGAGCUAGGUGAAAAAGCCAAAAAAGAAGACCGCAA